Molecule: ribosomal RNA, 615 nt
Filed under: uncultured bacterium
Lineage: Bacteria
Description: bacterial SSU rRNA
Rfam family: Bacterial small subunit ribosomal RNA (bases 1-540)
Source: RNAcentral
CCUACGGGAGGCAGCAGUGGGGAAUUUUGGACAAUGGGCGAAAGCCUGAUCCAGCCAUGCCGCGUGCAGGAUGAAGGCCUUCGGGUUGUAAACUGCUUUUGUACGGAACGAAAAGACUCUGGUUAAUACCUGGGGUCCAUGACGGUACCGUAAGAAUAAGCACCGGCUAACUACGUGCCAGCAGCCGCGGUAAUACGUAGGGUGCAAGCGUUAAUCGGAAUUACUGGGCGUAAAGCGUGCGCAGGCGGUUAUAUAAGACAGAUGUGAAAUCCCCGGGCUCAACCUGGGAACUGCAUUUGUGACUGUAUAGCUAGAGUACGGUAGAGGGGGAUGGAAUUCCGCGUGUAGCAGUGAAAUGCGUAGAUAUGCGGAGGAACACCGAUGGCGAAGGCAAUCCCCUGGACCUGUACUGACGCUCAUGCACGAAAGCGUGGGGAGCAAACAGGAUUAGAUACCCUGGUAGUCCACGCCCUAAACGAUGUCACUGGUUGUUGGUCUUCACUGACUCAGUAACGAAGCUAACGCGUGAAGUUGACCGCGUGGGGAGGUACGGCCGCGAGUAGAACGUACGAAGAGUAGUAGCGNGAGAGAGCGACGACGACGACGAGGAGGAGG